Molecule: ribosomal RNA, 597 nt
Filed under: Bacillus sp. SP8
Lineage: Bacteria; Bacillati; Bacillota; Bacilli; Caryophanales; Bacillaceae
Description: bacterial SSU rRNA
Rfam family: Bacterial small subunit ribosomal RNA
Source: RNAcentral
UGCAGUCGAGCGGACGGAUGGGAGCUUGCUCCCUGAAGUCAGCGGCGGACGGGUGAGUAACACGUGGGCAACCUGCCUGUAAGACUGGGAUAACUCCGGGAAACCGGGGCUAAUACCGGAUAACUCUUUUCCUCACAUGAGGAAAAGCUGAAAGAUGGUUUCGGCUAUCACUUACAGAUGGGCCCGCGGCGCAUUAGCUAGUUGGUGAGGUAACGGCUCACCAAGGCCACGAUGCGUAGCCGACCUGAGAGGGUGAUCGGCCACACUGGGACUGAGACACGGCCCAGACUCCUACGGGAGGCAGCAGUAGGGAAUCUUCCGCAAUGGACGAAAGUCUGACGGAGCAACGCCGCGUGAGUGAUGAAGGUUUUCGGAUCGUAAAACUCUGUUGUCAGGGAAGAACAAGUACCGGAGUAACUGCCGGUACCUUGACGGUACCUGACCAGAAAGCCACGGCUAACUACGUGCCAGCAGCCGCGGUAAUACGUANGUGGCAAGCGUUGUCCGGAAUUAUUGGGCGUAAAGCGCGCGCAGGCGGUUCCUUAAGUCUGAUGUGAAAGCCCCCGGCUCANCCGGGGAGGGUCAUUGGAAACUGGC